UGGGAAUCUUGGCUGAGUGUGUUCUGGGAAAUGUCAGGCCUACAGGAAGCAGAGGGCUCCCAGUCGCACCAUUCCGCAGGGACCAUGUGGAGGUUCUUGGGCCCAAAAGUUUUACCAGGAUGGGCCUGGGAGAGGCCUGGGUGAGGAGGACAUUCGCAGGGCACGGGAGGCCCGUCCCAGGAAGACACCCCGGCCCCAGCUGAGUGACCGCUCUCGAGAACGCAAGGUGCCUGCCUCCCGCAUCAGCCGCUUGGCCAACUUUGGGGGACUGGCUGUGGGCUUGGGGCUAGGAGUACUGGCCGAGAUGGCUAAGAAGUCCAUGCCAGGAGGUCGUCUGCAGUCAGGGGGUGGUUCUGGGCUGGACUCCAGCCCCUUCCUGUCGGAGGCCAAUGCCGAGCGGAUUGUGCAGACCUUAUGUACAGUUCGAGGGGCCGCCCUCAAGGUUGGCCAGAUGCUCAGCAUCCAGGGUACAGCAUGACCCUCGACUCCUGACCCCUGACCUCCCUUCCACCCCAGCCCUACCCACCAACAGGCCCCAACUUCAGAUACUCACACGGGGUCCCUCCUCACCUCUUUGCUUACUUCCCCCCUCGUUCCACUGUCUCCCAAGACAACAGCUUCAUCAGCCCUCAGCUGCAGCGCAUCUUUGAGCGGGUCCGCCAGAGCGCCGACUUCAUGCCCCGCUGGCAGAUGCUGAGAGUUCUUGAAGAGGAGCUCGGCAGGGACUGGCAGGCCAAGGUGGCCUCCUUGGAGGAGGUGCCCUUUGCCGCUGCCUCAAUUGGGCAGGUGCACCAGGGCCUGCUGAGGGACGGGACGGAGGUGGCCGUGAAGAUCCAGUACCCCGGCAUAGCCCAGAGCAUUCAGAGCGAUGUCCAGAACCUGCUGGCGGUACUCAAGAUGAGCGCGGCCCUGCCCGCGGGCCUGUUUGCCGAGCAGAGCCUGCAGGCCUUGCAGCAGGAGCUGGCUUGGGAGUGUGACUACCGUCGUGAGGCGGCUUGUGCCCAGAAUUUCAGG
Molecule: small RNA, 1014 nt
Filed under: Pan troglodytes (chimpanzee)
Lineage: Eukaryota; Metazoa; Chordata; Mammalia; Primates; Hominidae
Description: retained intron
Source: RNAcentral